Long non-coding RNA from Hemicordylus capensis (graceful crag lizard), 736 nucleotides. RefSeq lists it as uncharacterized. The record is from RefSeq and is a predicted model, not a curated record. The transcript is spliced from 3 exons. NCBI's taxonomy places the organism in Eukaryota, Metazoa, Chordata, Lepidosauria, Squamata, Cordylidae.
GGUAUCCUGUGGCCAGAAGGCUCUAGCUGGUAUAACGAGUCUAUAAGAGAUACAGAAUGAAACCUGGAGUUUUACUGAAGGAAAGACCUCCCAGAGACAUAAGUUUGGGGCGGUAUUAAAAUAUGUUUAAAAAAACACACAAAUAUCCGGACAACAGGGCAGCAGGGAGGUACACUGCCGCCAUGAAGGGCUUUGAAAGAAAUGGACACCGGCAGGGGGAAAGCAGCCGGGGGGUGAAGUCUCUGGUAUGGAAAGAUGCAGAUUGGAUCAGAUUCUCCACUUCUACACCAGAGGACCCAAAGGUAGCCUCCCAGGUUUCCCACAUACUGGAGAAGGGCUUGUAUUUUGGCCCAGGAGGACUUCAACCUGAUGAGUCUCCCCAUGCAGACAGUUUCUUAUCCAAAACCUAAACUGUUGCUGGAAUAUGAGAACGUUGUGGGCCCAGAAAGUCAGAAUGCUGGACCUUGCUUGCAUCAGAGACAGUCCAGGAGAAGGCCUUAAACCCAGCAUGGUGGCUUUGUCUCACUGGAGAACCUUGCAUGCGGUGGCAACCUCAAUACUAACUUUAUGACCUUUCUAUUAGGCAUGGCUUGUGGAGAAAAAGUAUCCCUGAAUUUCAUAUCACUCUCUUUUCUUAUGUGAAUAUUAAGAACAACAAUGACAAUUGAUAUUUAUUUACCAUUUUUCAACAUAGAAAAAUAAUAAAUAAAUAAGUUGGCUCCCUGUCCCCAAAGGG